This 271-nucleotide ribosomal RNA is filed under the name uncultured bacterium. RNAcentral's name for it is "partial 16S ribosomal RNA". It matches the Rfam family "Bacterial small subunit ribosomal RNA", at positions 524 to 794 of the family's 1533-position model. The record is from RNAcentral.
UACGUAGGGUGCGAGCGUUGUCCGGAAUUAUUGGGCGUAAAGGGCUCGUAGGCGGUUUGUCGCGUCGGGAGUGAAAACACACAGCUUAACUGUGUGCUUGCUUCCGAUACGGGCAGACUAGAGGUAUGCAGGGGAGAACGGAAUUCCUGGUGUAGCGGUGAAAUGCGCAGAUAUCAGGAGGAACACCGGUGGCGAAGGCGGUUCUCUGGGCAUUACCUGACGCUGAGGAGCGAAAGUGUGGGGAGCGAACAGGAUUAGAUACCCUAGUAGU